CGGGGCGUAGCGCAGAGGAAGCGCACCGGCAUGGGGGGCCGGGGGUCCCGGGUUCGAGUCCCGGCGCCCCGACCA
Molecule: transfer RNA, 75 nt
Filed under: Armatimonadota bacterium
Lineage: Bacteria; Bacillati; Armatimonadota
Description: tRNA-Pro
Rfam family: tRNA
About the family: Transfer RNA (tRNA) molecules are approximately 80 nucleotides in length. Their secondary structure includes four short double-helical elements and three loops (D, anti-codon, and T loops).
Source: RNAcentral